Long non-coding RNA from Nothoprocta perdicaria, 576 nucleotides. RefSeq lists it as uncharacterized. NCBI's taxonomy places the organism in Eukaryota, Metazoa, Chordata, Aves, Tinamiformes, Tinamidae. The transcript has 6 exons. The record is from RefSeq and is a predicted model, not a curated record.
UAUAUCACAUGACAUGUGGAUUACGUAGCUAAUUAUUAACGGAUGGAGGUUGAGAGGAUAAGAUAUAAGAAAAGAUACUACAGCAGCCCUGCAGGACUCGUAUCACUUCUUCAGGUUCUGUGGAUUGUUAUUAUCUGUGGAAUAAAAAAGGAACUCAGACGUGCUCCACAGGCAGUGGAAGGAUCUUAGUACCUACAUCAAAGAAGAAGUUUGAGAGAAGUCACCAGAGUGCACAGGACGUAUUGAUGUAGCUUGGUGGUCCAUAAGCUCACGUGAAGAGUGUAAGCACCAACCUUCCCAGGAGCUCAGGUAAUUGCUAAGAUACACAGGACUGAAGUACAGCACUGAACUCAGAGGUUGCCUGGUCAGUGGAAUUUACCCUUCAAGGAAGAGCUGCAGAGCAAGUAGAAACACUCACAGCUGUAUUGUCAAAUACAGGGUGGAGAUUUUAAAGACUUUACAACUGACCUUGAAUUCUGAGCAGAUGACACUCCUAAGUGCUCAAGCCCCUUGGCUGUAACCAUUGGUGGUUGUGGCUUUUGCCAGAAAAGCAGAGAGGGCGCAGACCAUGAAAUG